AGACAGCAGUCGCCACGGGAACACGUAGGUCCCGAGCGUUGUCCGGAUUUAUUGGGCGUAAAGGGAGCGCAGGCGGUUUAGUAAGUCUGAAGUUAAAGGCAUUGGCUCAACCAAUGUAUGCUUUGGAAACUGUUAGACUUGAGUGCAGAAGGGGAGAGUGGAAUUCCAUGUGUAGCGGUGAAAUGCGUAGAUAUAUGGAGGAACACCGGUGGCGAAAGCGGCUCUCUGGUCUGUCACUGACGCUGAGGCUCGAAAGCGUGGGUAGCGAACAGGAUUAGAUACCCCCGUAGUCCCUGUCUCUUAUACC
RNAcentral lists this ribosomal RNA (307 nucleotides) under uncultured bacterium. RNAcentral describes it as "partial 16S ribosomal RNA". It matches the Rfam family "Bacterial small subunit ribosomal RNA", at positions 506 to 808 of the family's 1533-position model. The record is from RNAcentral.